Molecule: ribosomal RNA, 2281 nt
Filed under: Staphylococcus pseudintermedius
Lineage: Bacteria; Bacillati; Bacillota; Bacilli; Caryophanales; Staphylococcaceae
Description: partial 23S ribosomal RNA
Rfam family: Bacterial large subunit ribosomal RNA
Source: RNAcentral
AGAACUUGAAACCGUGUGCUUACAAGUAGUCAGAGCCCGUUAAUGGGUGAUGGCGUGCCUUUUGUAGAAUGAACCGGCGAGUUACGAUCUGAUGCAAGGUUAAGCAGAAAAUGUGGAGCCGUAGCGAAAGCGAGUCUGAAUAGGGCGAAUGAGUAUUUGGUCGUAGACCCGAAACCAGGUGAUCUACCCUUGGUCAGGUUGAAGUUCAGGUAACACUGAAUGGAGGACCGAACCGACUUACGUUGAAAAGUGAGCGGAUGAACUGAGGGUAGCGGAGAAAUUCCAAUCGAACUUGGAGAUAGCUGGUUCUCUCCGAAAUAGCUUUAGGGCUAGCCUCAAGUGAUGAUUAUUGGAGGUAGAGCACUGUUUGGACGAGGGGCCCCUCUCGGGUUACCGAAUUCAGACAAACUCCGAAUGCCAAAUAAUUUAACUUGGGAGUCAGAAUGUGGGUGAUAAGGUCCAUAUUCGAAAGGGAAACAGCCCAGACCACCAGCUAAGGUCCCAAAAUAUAUGUUAAGUGGAAAAGGAUGUGGCGUUGCCCAGACAACUAGGAUGUUGGCUUAGAAGCAGCCAUCAUUUAAAGAGUGCGUAAUAGCUCACUAGUCGAGUGACACUGCGCCGAAAAUGUACCGGGGCUAAACAUAUUACCGAAGCUGUGGAUUGUCCUUUGGACAAUGGUAGGAGAGCGUUCUAAGGGCGUUGAAGCAUGAUCGCAAGGACAUGUGGAGCGCUUAGAAGUGAGAAUGCCGGUGUGAGUAGCGAAAGACGGGUGAGAAUCCCGUCCACCGAUUGACUAAGGUUUCCAGAGGAAGGCUCGUCCGCUCUGGGUUAGUCGGGUCCUAAGCUGAGGCCGACAGGCGUAGGCGAUGGAUAACAGGUUGAUAUUCCUGUACCACCAUUAUUCGUUUUAAGCGAUGGGGGGACGCAGUAGGAUAGGCGAAGCGUGCUGUUGGAGUGCACGUCCAAGCAGUGAGAUUGAGUGUUAGGCAAAUCCGGCACUCUUAAGAUUGAGCUGUGAUGGGGAGAGGAACUUGUUCCUCGAGUCGUUGAUUUCACACUGCCGAGAAAAGCCUCUAGCUAGAAUAACGGUGCCCGUACCGCAAACCGACACAGGUAGUCAAGAUGAGAAUUCUAAGGUGAGCGAGCGAACUCUCGUUAAGGAACUCGGCAAAAUGACCCCGUAACUUCGGGAGAAGGGGUGCUCUUUGAGGUUCACGCUUCGAAGAGCCGCAGUGAAUAGGCCCAAGCGACUGUUUAUCAAAAACACAGGUCUCUGCUAAACCGUAAGGUGACGUAUAGGGGCUGACGCCUGCCCGGUGCUGGAAGGUUAAGAGGAGUGGUUAGCGCAAGCGAAGCUACGAAUCGAAGCCCCAGUAAACGGCGGCCGUAACUAUAACGGUCCUAAGGUAGCGAAAUUCCUUGUCGGGUAAGUUCCGACCCGCACGAAAGGCGUAACGAUUUGGGCACUGUCUCAACGAGAGACUCGGUGAAAUCAUAGUACCGGUGAAGAUGCCGGUUACCCGCGACAGGACGGAAAGACCCCGUGGAGCUUUACUGUAGCCUGAUAUUGAAAUUCGGUACAGUUUGUACAGGAUAGGUAGGAGCCUUAGAAGCGUGAGCGCUAGCUUACGUGGAGGCAUUGGUGGGAUACUACCCUAAUUGUAUUGGAUUUCUAACCCGCAGCACUUAUCGUGCUGGGAGACAGUGUCAGGCGGGCAGUUUGACUGGGGCGGUCGCCUCCUAAAGAGUAACGGAGGCGCUCAAAGGUUCCCUCAGAAUGGUUGGAAAUCAUUCAUAGAGUGUAAAGGCAUAAGGGAGCUUGACUGCGAGACCUACAAGUCGAGCAGGGUCGAAAGACGGACUUAGUGAUCCGGUGGUUCCGCAUGGAAGGGCCAUCGCUCAACGGAUAAAAGCUACCCCGGGGAUAACAGGCUUAUCUCCCCCAAGAGUUCACAUCGACGGGGAGGUUUGGCACCUCGAUGUCGGCUCAUCGCAUCCUGGGGCUGUAGUCGGUCCCAAGGGUUGGGCUGUUCGCCCAUUAAAGCGGUACGCGAGCUGGGUUCAGAACGUCGUGAGACAGUUCGGUCCCUAUCCGUCGUGGGCGUAGGAAAUUUGAGAGGAGCUGUCCUUAGUACGAGAGGACCGGGAUGGACAUACCUCUGGUGUACCAGUUGUCGUGCCAACGGCAUAGCUGGGUAGCUAUGUAUGGACGGGAUAAGUGCUGAAAGCAUCUAAGCAUGAAGCCCCCCUCGAGAUGAGAUUUCCCAACUUCGGUUAUAAG